This is a long non-coding RNA of Pyrus x bretschneideri (Chinese white pear), 1044 nucleotides long. RefSeq lists it as uncharacterized. The record is from RefSeq and is a predicted model, not a curated record. Lineage: Eukaryota; Viridiplantae; Streptophyta; Magnoliopsida; Rosales; Rosaceae. The transcript is spliced from 2 exons.
CCCUCUUUUAUAUUGGAGGCUCCCUCAAAUACCAUUUUCCUCUUACACAGAGAGUUUUGAGAAGGAAGCGAAGUGCUGGGUUGGUUUCAUAUAUUAAUUGCUUCUAGAGGAGGCAUCCAAAGGGAUCGCAUUGAUCCCAGCUAACUAUUUAUUUCCACCGUUUGGUUUGGAUCAUGCUAUCCCUUUGGAUUUCUCCUUUGGAAGCUUCAAACUUAUUUCUUUAUAUCUUGCAUCAACGACUUCUUACACGUUCAAGGUAUUCGGCCAAACUCGACGGUUUCUUGUUCAGCUGUCUCACUCCCCAACUCUCUCUAACUCCCUCCUUCCAAAAACCCUAGAUCCGAAGACCUACAGCUACCUGCCUCUUGCUCCGGCUUGCGGUCCGCGGCAACCAUUUGCCCCCUAAUUCGAGUCAUGCUUAUCGUUUAUUUUGUCCCCUCCCACACACCGUGCCCCCACUCUCCCACCGCUUCCCCUACCUUCGUGCCAUGCCUCCUUUCCCCCCGCCUCGUCUUUGUCCCCCUACCUUUCCCUUACCUCGCGCCUCUUCCUCCCCCUCACCAUCCCCUCUCCCACAAAUUUUCAAGUAGCUCGCCCUUCCUUUGAUGAAUCUCUUCCUGAGCUCUGGCUUUGCUCUUUUGGGCUAGACCCGUGGGUAUGGGUAAGAUUUGUGGUUGUGGCGGGUUAGAUCCACCUCCCAUGACUCGUUCUCCAGGGUGAUUUUGCGCUCCUCAGGCAGCCUAGCCGCCUUACAUGACCAAACCUGUGGCGGCUCUUGUGGUGAAUGCUAUACAUAUCUCUAGAAGCGCUGUUGGUGUCGUGGAGUCAAGUUUCUUAGUGGUUCCCUUUUCGAAUUAGUUAGUUUUGUUUAAUGUUUUGUGUUAUGUCUCUUCGGCGAGUGUUAUGGCCUCGUUGUUCUAGCGAUGGUGCGAUGUGGCCUAGUUGCUUUAGUUAUGGCUUAUGUGUGCAUUCAGAGCAUGAUUUGUCACGUUUAUAUCUUUUGUGACAUAUUAUAGGACGUGCAUCCAGUUUUUGUGUGUAGUA